RNAcentral lists this non-coding RNA (32 nucleotides) under Rattus norvegicus (Norway rat). The record is from RNAcentral. Lineage: Eukaryota; Metazoa; Chordata; Mammalia; Rodentia; Muridae.
UGGAUGAUGCAUUUAUGGGAGCUGUGUCCCCU